AUGGCUCCUACCGAGGCUGAGGCUGAUGUAGAGGAGGGAGAAGAGAAGAAGAAGAGGGAAAGGAAAGCAACCGGAGCUGCUUUUACGUGGAUUCAAAAUCACUUUGCGACGUGCCCUCCGGAUGCCACUGAUGAUGUGAUCCAGACACAUGCUCGUGUCUACAUGUGGUAUGUUGUGUCGAGGACUUUGUUUCCUGACUCCACUGGCAAGAACGCUCCAUGGAUGUGGCUGAAGGCGUUGACCGUCUUCGAUAGCAAAUGA
Molecule: ribosomal RNA, 261 nt
Filed under: Triticum aestivum (bread wheat)
Lineage: Eukaryota; Viridiplantae; Streptophyta; Magnoliopsida; Poales; Poaceae
Description: partial small subunit ribosomal RNA
Source: RNAcentral